UACGUAGGGGGCAAGCGUUGUUCGGAAUUACUGGGCGUAAAGGGCGCGUAGGCGGCACGGCAAGUCAGGAGUGAAAGCCCGGGGCUCAACCCCGGAAUGUCUUUUGAAACUGCCGAGCUAGAGUGCGGAAGAGGCAACUGGAAUUCCCAGUGUAGCGGUGAAAUGCGUAGAUAUCUGGAGGAACACCGGUGGCGAAGGCGGCAUCCUGGACCGACACUGACGCUGAGGAGCGAAAGCCAGGGGAGCAAACGGGG
Molecule: ribosomal RNA, 254 nt
Filed under: uncultured bacterium
Lineage: Bacteria
Description: partial 16S ribosomal RNA
Rfam family: Bacterial small subunit ribosomal RNA
Source: RNAcentral